Molecule: ribosomal RNA, 328 nt
Filed under: uncultured eukaryote
Lineage: Eukaryota
Description: partial 18S ribosomal RNA
Rfam family: Eukaryotic small subunit ribosomal RNA
Source: RNAcentral
CCCUUAGACGUUCUGGGCCGCACGCGCGCUACACUGACCAGUGCAACAAGCAUCCGUCCUUGGCCGACAGGCCCGGGCAAUCUUUGAACGCUGGUCGUGAUGGGGAUAGACUUUUGCAAUUUUUGGUCUUCAACGAGGAAUUCCUAGUAAACGCAAGUCAUCAACUUGCAUUGAUUACGUCCCUGCCCUUUGUACACACCGCCCGUCGCUACUACCGAUUGAACGUUUUAGUGAGGUAUUUGGACUGGACCUUCGGAGGUUCGCGCCUCCGUUGCUGUUCGGGAAGACUCCCAAACUUGAGCGUUUAGAGGAAGUAAAAGUCGUANCA